GUUAAUUUGAACAAGAGUUUGUUACUUUUUCAACUGAAUUUUUAGUUUGUUUAUUAGCAAAAUAUAUUAUCUCAUAAACAUUUAUACAUAAUGUAGGCAAAUUCUAUGGGGUGGAGUGUGGGGGUUAUGGGGGGUGGGGAGGAGUCCCAUGUGAAACGCCACAUAAACUACUUGGUUUCCCUGUUUGUUCCGGAUCUAGGUUGAUAUAUAUAGCUCCUUGUGGGAGUGAUAAGUGCAUGAGUAAUAUGUUGUGGCUGAUGCAUUAUUUAUGUUAUCAUGUUAUCUUCCUUAUGUGAUCUAGUAUUUGAUCAACUUCUCGUUUAUUAUUCCUGUGUUAUAGUUCAUGUGUUGUUUGUAAAUAUUUUCCCUUUAAUAAAAGUCAAGUAUCAAAAGAAGUGAUAAUUUUUCCUUAUGUAAGUUUAAAAAGAAUAUUUCUUUUCCAAGAACAUGAGUAUCAAGACAAAUAUAUUACUUUUCUUCUUCAACUCGCAUGUAACGAUAAAAUUGAAGAAACCAUCUGUUUUCACUUGCAUUCUCCAAAUAGAUGUUUAUGCUUCUCUCAAUCUUAUAGAAAUAAGACCAAAUGCAGUUGUGCUACUGCAUCAACAAUCGUUCUGUCUAUUUUCUUAAACAUCAAACACAUCAUUUUUGGGUAAAGUAUUACCCAAAACUCACGGUUUGAUAGAAGAGAUACUAUUGAGGAUCAAACAGAAUGCUUAUCCAAUAAUUGGGUGAUUCAUGAUGAAAACAAAAUGGCAAGCCUUUUUUGCUUAGUGGAUUUGAGAUACAUUAAUAUAUAUGUUAACAAAAUUUCUUAAUAUAACAAGCUUUAAGCUUAAGCUACUGAAUUUUGUUGAACCCGUAUCUUCAAAUAAUGUUACUUCACCCCAGGUCUUCAAGCUUGAGAUACUGAUAUGACCAAGGAGAGAAUUAGAAUACAGCUACUCACAACAUCAAACAAAAUACGAGUUAUACUACUACAUCAAUAAUCAUAUUUCAUUUCACUUUGUAAUGUUGCCAUAUCUUUGACAAUAUAUUAUUGAAAAAUCUCUUCAUAUUUUUUGUAAAAAUCUCAUGAUAUUUUGUUGGAAAUCUCUACCAAGAGAUUUUAUUUGGGGCCAAAGUUUGAUUGACAUCAUCCAUGACAUCAAAUACUUGGACAACAAGAACUUUUUUGCUAUAAAUAGAUGUGUUUCUUUCACCAUAGACACACCAAUUUGAUAGGAUCUUAGUUGUUGCUUUUUUUUUUUUUAGAGAAUAUUUGUGAGAGAGUUGUGUUGGAAAAAACUUGGGUGAAACAUUUUUAAGAGUGAUCUCGUGAUGCUAUUCACUUGGGAUAUUUGAGAUAUGAGAGUAUUUAAUUAUUCUAAUUUUGUAUUCUCUUUUAUUCCCUUGUACUCUUUCUUAUUCCAUUAUAUUUAGUAAAAUUGCUCCUCCUUUUGGUAGUGGACGUAGGUCAAGUUAACCGAACUACGUUAAAUUUGUGCCUCCUUUGUUUCCUCAACUUAUAGUUAUUAUUGUCUUUGUUAUUGUCUUUAAUUGAUUACUUUGUUUAAUUCUGCACUAUACGGGAUUCCAUAUCCUAGCACACUUCAACAUCAAAAACAUUAUUUUACGGUAGGGUCGAUUGGACAUUAAACUUGACAUGGCAAAAACUUACGACAUGCAACUGGAAUUUCUUAAUAGCUGUUAAUUGCUGGCUAUGAGAAGGUUUGGUUUUGAAGAAAAAUGGAUAAAGAUCUUAUUCGGAGAUCUAUCACAAAUGUUUGGUUCUCAGUGUCAUAAAUGGUGUCAUGAGAAGUUUUUUUUUUUCAUUUUCUAACCGUCAGGAGAAGAUUUUUUUUCAUUUUGUACUAGAGGAGUUUGCCAUAGCACUUUCCUUUAACUUUUGGUGAAACCUUCUUAUCAAACAAGACUCCUCAUGCAGUCUCCCAUCUCCUUAUAUAAAGAUCCAAGUUACAUGAAACUUUCUUUGGGACUCUCUGUGUAUGAAGUCUUACUUGCACAAUAGCCGCAUGUACACGUGGCUUAACUUGUAUUCCAAGUAUUUUUUCUUAAUUCUUCUCAACUUGAAUCCUUAACACUCCAAGGUCUGUCAUCCACAAAUCUUAUCAACGAAAACUAUGUCAUCCACAAAUAACAUACACUAUAAUACAUCACCAUGAAUUUCCAUAGACCAUCAGAUGAAGCUUAUCUGCUCUUUUCCAUCUUAAGAACAUUGGUUUAGGAUGAUUAGGAAACAUGAACAUGAUUGACUUAAUUAUCUCCAACUGAGGCUUCCUAGAUUCUGCUCUAUAUUUUCUUAUAUCUACCUACUGAUUACCUCAUUUACGAGAGAGGACUAUUUAAGAUUUUCUAAAUUAGAGUUCAAUAAAAAUUAUUUAAGGUAUCUUGUCAAGGUAUGAAAAGAUAUAACAUUAGUUGAAAAAAUGUAGCAUCAAACUGGAAAAUAUAGAACAUUUGUUGAACAUUAAAACUAAUUAUAACACCCCAUAUUUUCGGGCUAAAAUUCUAACCAUCAUUCCUUCGUGUGUAAACCUGAUCCCCAUAUUUUUUAAGUAAAUAUAAAUGUAAUGAUAAUUUACCUAGUGUUUAAUAUGCUUUCGUGGCGAUGAAUGUUCAUUGGAAACAGUUAGAGCAAAGUUGAGUUAAGAACUUUUGUUAUCGACUGAAUUUUUGUAUUCAAUCCUACAAGGAUAAAUUUGAACGUCCGUAACUUCUAAAAUAUAUGGAAUUUCGGAGGUCAUGACCCACUAAAUGAAUGAUAAUUGAGUAUCUUUCCAAUGCCACCGAUUCUGCCUUAAUCUGAUACUCGAGCAAUAAGUUUUGAGCAUUUUCACUAGCAAACCAGUGAGUGUCCUUGUUUAGGGUGUGGAACGCCCUGUGUGCUCCAUGAUAAGAGUGUGGAAUGCUCUAUAUACUUCGUGUUAAGGGCGUGGCACACUCAUAUGCCCAGAGACUCUAAAAUAUUUCUCUUUCAUUUUUCGAUGACAAACUAGUUAUUUACGUCCAAAAUCAUCCUACAACUAAUAGUAAUGCAUUUUCCCUCAUCCUGUAACCCAAAUACAUGAUUUCUCUUCUCCCAAACCAUCUAGAACAUCAUAUAGGGUUUAUUCUCCCACAUUCAAGCUUCCAAGGAUCCAAAUUCAAGCUCUUCUCAAAUUUCAUCUGUCAAAAAGCACAUUGGACACUCUUUAUUUUAAUUUUUGUUAUAUUGCAUCAAUUUACAUGAUUUCUUACGUUCUUUUGAAUGCUUGAUUAAUCUAGGAUUGAGGGUUUUUGAGUUGAUUAAAACUACCAUUGUAUUUUCCUUGAUUUAAAUGGUUUAUUCAUGGUUUGAAUGGUGAUUUGCAAAAUGAAUUUUUGUCCCAUGGUAAUGGUGGAAAUUGGCAAUAUGAUUUUCAUAAUGUUUAUGGAUUUUGGCAUGAUAAUGACAUGAACCUCAACCCACAUCGUAGUUUUUCUUUGAACAAGGAUCCUACAGAGUUUAACUCGUCUUUUAAAAUAUUGCAUUCUAUUAAAUGGUAAAAAUAUAAAGAGGUUUUAAAACGCCCUUGGGGGAUAUAGUGUUGGAUUUUAAAAUGGAAUUCGGAGUCAAAUGGUUAAAUGGUUAUGAUAUGGCAUAAUGGGAAUAGCUUUCAAUUCAAUUGGUAUGACAAUACCAAUUUGAAAAUGCCGUAAUAAAAGACUUUAUGGUUAGUGGUAUGCGAAAAAUAUUUUAGUUAGGCAUAAAGAAAAUUGUGUAGCUUCGCUGAGUAGGUGUAGUCUAGGGGGAACCAAUACUAAAAAUCACAUUUCCUAACGCUGGGGAUCUAUGACCACUAUGUCUUCUUUACAAAGUAUAGUUUUUGAUGGCUAUUGACUAUGGAUGAUGUUAGCUUUAUUUCUCCGGUCUACGCGGCAAACAUGGACCGAGGCACUUCUGGCAGGGGGUGUUGGACCCAUAAAAUCCAUAGGUGCCUGAAGAUCAUUAUGAGCUACAUAGUUUAGGAUUAAAUUUUUAAAUUGUCAUGUCUCAUGCCCCAGUAUCCUAUUACAUCUAUAUUUGUUGUUCAUAUGAUUUAUGACUUAAUUUUGGUAAAUUAUUUCCUUGGGUUGCAUAGGGGAACAAGAAAAGCCCUUGGGACAUACAUCAUGAAAUAAUGGACCGUCCAAGGAUGAUCAGUAUGGAGAGUAUUGGCAUACAACCCAAGAAACCCAUAGGUAGUAUAAGUCAUCUAGUCACCCACGGGCUAUAUGGGUCCCACUUCCUCUACCGAAAGGGCCCUAGUGAGUGUUAGCCGCUUUAACAGAGGUUAGGCUAGAGUCACAAAAAGACUAAAGUCAUCAUAUAUAUUAUACUCAUGUUAAGGACAUAAUUUGGUCAUCCAAUUAAGGUAUUACAUUCCUAUGCCGACAAAUAUAGGUUUCGGGUAUUGGUCACAAUGACUAUACCUUCACAGUGAGCUAUAUAAUUCCCUUUAGAGCCCAAUUAAAACAGUUUGCACCUAACAUUAAUCAUGGAGUCAUUCAUUAGGAAUAUUCACAUUUCUCUAGUCAUACUAAGACUUGCAAGUCAUUCAUACUAUGAUAAACAUUAUUAUAAAACAUUAAAGACUCCUUAACUUCAUCACUCAAAAUCAUGCUUAUCAUCAUCAUUAGAUUGCAUAAAAUCUCAAAGCAGUCAUAAAGUUUAAUACUUUAAAUAUUUCAAAAGAGAUGGGGUAUCAUCUUUGUUCAUCAUCUUCUUGCAAAGCCUUUUCAAAGGACUUAAAAUUCAUGAUUUGAAUCAUUCAUAACUUUCCAUGUUCCAAAUAUAAGUUAAGUUAUCAAGAAUCCUUGUUUAUAAUCAAAUUAAUCGUGUGGGUUGAGGUUUCUGAAAUUAACUUCAUACAAGUUUCAUAAUCAUUGUGAAAAAACAAUUUGUCAAUUUCCCCAUUACUAUGAGACAAAUGUAGUUCACAAUCCAACAUUUAAACCAUGAAUGAUUCAUUAAAAAUAAGGAAAAACAAUUCAAGUGUUAAACAACCGAAAAUCCUCAACCCUAGUUUGAGUCAACAUUCAAGAAUAUGUAAUAAAUUAUGCAAAUUUAAACAAUAGUACAAUAAAUAAAAUAGGGAGUGUACAACCUGCCUUUUUUACGGAAGCAAUUUGAGAAGAACUUGAGUUUGAAGCCUUUUAAAUUGAACCUUGUGAAGAAACCCUAGAUUUGUUUCUCUUGGGAGUGGAGAGGGGAAAGAGCGAUGACAAACUGAUAUCUAAUGAGUAAAUAGAAUUUAACGAGUGAUUUAUGUCAUGAUGGUAGGGUGUGAGGUGAGGAAAAGGACAAAAUACCCCUAAAAUUUCAAAAAAGAUUGCAGGAAUUUCUCAGUUGACAACUAAGUUAAUAUCCUGUCAGUUUAGAGACAACUGAUCACCCUAGUCAUCAAUCUCCAUCUAGAUUUGGCCAUUUACUUGUCAAGGUUAACGGCUUGAGUAGACAUCUUUUCAACUUAGUCGUCACCUUCUGGUAGGCAUACACUCCCAAGUAAAAUGAGCAUAAUUUUCUACAAUGAUAUCAGAUUAAUGUGAAAUAACAUGCAAUGGAAUGAAUAUUUGAAGAUCAUUCGUUUGGUAUAUAGUAGGAUACCUAAAUCUUUAUAUUAUAGGAUUAAUGAUCAUUUUAAGUUUACCCAAGUAGGAGAGUUCACUUAAACUCAAUCGAUAGAGAAGUUCUCAACUCAUCUUUGAGUUAGGACAUUUUUAUGAUCUCAAUUCAUCACCAAAGAUGUUCUCACACCAGUGAAUUGAUCGUCGCACUUAUAUUGACAUAGAAUUAUUUGGUUCAAGUUUAUACAUGUAGGGAUGACUCUUUGAAUUCUUCCCUGAAUAUGUAGGUGCUACAGUUUCUCUAUAUCUAAUUCACAAGAAUCCAAGUAGAAAUUUGUGUCUACAAAGUACUACUUUGUCUCAACAAAAGGAUUGAUAUCCACAAUAAUUUAACAACUUCACUAUACUUUAUAUAAUUUAUACAUUGAUGUAAAGUAGAUGACAUCACCCUAUUUUCAUGAAUCUAGAGGAGUCCAAGAAGUAAGUUGAAUGAUAUCUUCGUAUCUAUAACAUGAAUCAAAAUGUUUGAAUUCAUGUUGCCAGUGGUCAAUCUGAGAAAAAUCUUCCCCAGGGCCCAUUGUCCUCCUUGAUUGAAGACUUAGAUCGUUAUGUUGCACUUUGAUGCUUUAUCAAUAGAGAUUCCAAGCCUUCUGAGUACCCUCUUCAGCAUGAUAUUGACUAUCGAACCAUCAUCAAUCAAUAUUAGAUUGAAAUGUUAUUCUCAAAUAACUCAUACGAGAAAAGGUUGUUUAUGUAGUUUAGACCCAAAAAAAAAUCAUUAUCUGUGGGGGAAGUUGUAGAAAAACAUAAUGGGACUUAUCUAUUAGCAUGAUAUUCUAGUGCUAUUAGUGGACAACACUCACUUUGCUUUUCGUUAUUUUCCCUAUGACGGAAAUUACAUUCGUAUCACUAAUUUGACUAUCUUUAAGGAAUUUUUCAUCGAAAGAACUUAUGCAAUGUAAUAGGCCUCGAACGUUCUAAGGCAAUGAAUCAUCAUUCUUCUUUCUAGUACCAAACUUAAAAUUUUGUAAUGGUCGUAGAUGCUCCACGUUACUCCUCAUUACUCUUGGCUUAGGAAGUUCUAUCCUCAAAAAUGCUUGAUAUCUCCUUUUCUUAUGAGAAACCAAGGUUGAAUUGAACUAUCAUUAUCUUUAGAAUUGUCAUUUGUCUAUAGUGAAACUUUAAGAGUUUUCCUUGGAAAAUCUACCUCAACCGACUCAAAACUUCCAAAUUUCAAGAAGAUUGAGCUUGGUAUAGUCUACGACAUUGAACACUUUUCUUUCUUGGGUACAACAUUGUCACAACCCAAACUGAGGCCCUGAUCGCAACGAGCAUCUCGAAACGUGAAGGAGCGAGCACCUUUUGCUAUCUGGCAAUCAUGCACACCAUUCAUAUACUUUGAAUAAAUGUGAAACAAUAAACAAGCGGAACCAUGGUCAUUUUUUGAGUUCAACUGAACUAUACAGAAUUUAAUUUUUAAACAUUCGAAAACCACAUGAAAACUAGUCUGUGAAAUCUCUAGCAAUAUGAAAAUGAACAUCUAUUUGACAACUGGGACAAAGCCCUAUUCAGACAAUGAAAGAUAAAUAAAAUAGCAAUUUUCCAACAACCAUGGCCUUCCAAAAUAAGGGAAGAUCACCAACUGUGAACUACAGACAAACAAUCUACUGCUUAGUGGGACCUCGAGACUGUACCUCAGAUCCUGAAAAAUAGGGGGUCGGUAAAAAUGUAUUAGUACGUAGAGAAAUCAAAAAUAAUGUACUUUUAUACAACAUAAGAUAGAGAAUUUAUAAACCACACUACAUACAAUAUAUGAAAACACAUGGGCAUACUUAAAAGACUUCAAAAUAUUUCGUUGAAAAUACGACACACUCUUUGUCUUACUUCUGAGCUAGGUGGUACACCCUACAAUUACGAUAUUCUAUGGGCUAUAUGGAAUCCGCCCUUGACUCGGCGGACAAACCCCCAACUCAUGUUUUCCACAAAGGUUGGAGUUUCUGAUUCUGAUACACCACAGGGCACUAAGCCAGCAUAUAAUCCAUUUUUGGGGAUAUAAUAACCCGUAUCGGCAAAAAAUGGAUUCGAGAAAUGAGUUUUUAGAAAUCGUGCCUUAUUUGGGUAAUCACCUAACAUAUCUUAGCCCAUUUUUAACAUUUUAAACAUGAACCUUUCUGAAACCAAAUUUUGAAAGUAUGAAUAAUAUCUGACUUCUAUUCUGUUCUGAGUCUGUUAUGGCAUUAUCUGUCUUGGUAUCGUCAUACCAAGACUUGCAGGUCAUAUAUUCUAAGACAUAUAUUAUCAUGAUACAAAACUUUCAUUCAAAACAAAGUGUUUGGACCACCAAAUCAUGCAAACAUUACAAAAGAAUUCUUCUAUUGAAGUACAUGAAAAUUUAUGUAAUGAUUCUCUCUUUUAAUUCUUAAACAUGUGGUGGUCAUUUACUUCAUAGCAAAACAUGCAAUUCUUUCAAUUAUCAUCUUUAAUACUAACAUACAAGAAAUAUCCCUAUCUUCAAUUCACAACCAACAUAAAGUUCAUAAAUGAUAGUAAACCCUUGGUUCAUGCUUUAAGACAUGGAAUUGAGUAACCCAUACCUUUUAAAUCAAGAAAUAACACAAUGAAAGAGGGAAAUAUGUUAUUCAUUCUCUCAAUUCAUAUUUCAAAACUGAACACACAUACAUACAUAUACACAACUAAAAAUUCAAGUCUAAGGGAAGGCCUCAAGACCAAAAUAUUCGCAAUGCAUACUUCUUAAUGUAAUUCGAAACCCUUCAUAAACAUAUGAUUUAUCAACAUUCAAAACCUUACUAAAAAGAUUUCAUCAUACCCAAUUUGUUUUGGAAAACCCCACUUACCUUUGAUUGCUUAGUUUGAAGAAUAGAAUCUGAAUCUUGACAGUUUCUUGGAAAUCUUGAACUUAAAGGUUGAUUCUCAAUCUUUGGGAGAGAAGCUAGGGUUUUGUUUUAAAGGAAUUGAAGUAAAUUUUGGCAUACUAUGCCCUAAUCACAACUUAAUUUCGUGUUAUGGUUGAGAUAGAAUAAGAGAAAAAGACUGAAAUACCGUUCUGGACACGAAAAAGUUAUUAAAACAAAUUGGGCACCCAACGCGUUAAGUGAUGCACUGUGUCGUUCCCUACUAAUGUGAUUCCUGGCACGAUCCAUCUACAUCAUGUUGGCGCACUGUUUUUAUCCUCGAAACAUGUCUCAAAUGUCAUCCGAAUAAUAUGAAAUUUCCCUAAGAUAGGAAUAUUGAUUUAAAAAUCAUUGAAGUUUAGGAGAUUAGAAUAUGACUAAGUCCUUUUUAACACUGAAAAAAAUUUCAGGUUCUAAGUCCUCUGUUCAUGCUACUAAGGGUGGUACUAAGCCGAGAAUGCUACAGGGCGUUACAUUAUCCCCCCUUGCUACAUUCAUCCUUGAAUGAUGGCUCGGGACUCUGACAAGCACAAUUUCAAGCACACUAUGGAAAAUACAAAGAGAAUAGUAUGUGAUUCGUACCUUCUAUGUCGCCAUCCACAGUCUCAAAGAUGUUUAGGUAUCUAGUACACAUGUCAUCUUCUGACUCCCAAGUAGCUCCCUCCACUUUCUGAUUCUUCCACAAUACCUUAAUCAAAACUAAUUCCUUGCUUCUCAGCUUCAGAACUUGGUGAUCAAAAAUGGAAAUGGGUUCUUCUUCAUAUGAAAAAGGAGUCUUUCACAUUAAUCUUCUCUACAGGUAAUACUAGGGAAUGAUAUCCUAUGUACUUUACCAACAUGGACACAUGGAAUAUUUGAUGUACAGAAGCCAGGCUCGUGGGAAAAUCUGACUCAUAAGCAACCUCACCUAUCCUUCUCAUAAUCUAAUAUGGUCCUAUAACGAGGUCUAAGAUUCCCUUUCUUUCCAAAAUGCAUGGCUCCCUUUUUAGGGGAGACCUUUAGGAACACCCAAUCAUCAACCUCGAAUCCUAAAUCUUUCCUUAUAACAUUGGCAUAAGACUUCUGGCUACUCUUGGCAGUCUUAAGUCACUCCCUAAUGAUCUUCACUUUCUUCGUCGCUUGAUGAACAAUGUAAGUCCCAAAUAAGCAAGCUUCACCCACUUCAUAGCAUCCAAUUGGUGACCUACCUAUUCACUUAUAAAGUGUUUCAAAAUUAUCCAUCUGAAUAUGAGAAUGGUAGCUAUUAUUGUAGGUGAAUUCUAUCAAUGACAAAUGAUCCACCUAACUUUCUUUGAAGUCAAUUACAUAGUCUCUCAACAUAUCCUCAAGGGUCUUAAUGGUGCAUUCAUCUUGUCCAUUAGUCUAACGGUGAAAGACGGUACUCAAGUUCACUUGGAUGCCUAAACCUCUCUGAAAACAUCGCCAAAACUAUGAAGAAAAUUGCAUACCUCGGUCAGAUAUAAUAGACAUCGGAGUACCAUGCAAAUAGACUAUAUCUCGAAUGUACAAUCUAGCAUAGUCAUCCCCCAAUAAAUCAUCCACACCAAAAGAAAAUGAGCGGACUUGGUCAUCCGUUCUACAGUCACCCAAAUGGAGUCAUAUUGGUAUCGGGACUUCAGAAGCCCUAUAAUGAAGUACAUGUUAAUCAUUUCCCACUUCCACAUAGGCAGAGCUAUCUCUUAGGAAGAGCACCUAGCCUCAAAUGUUCUACCUUGACUUGUUGACAAUUCAAACACUUAGAAAAAAAAUUAGCAACAUCACAUUACAUGUUGUUCAACCAACAAAUAUCCUUAAGGUCAUGAUACAUUUUUGUGGAACCUGGGUGAACGACAUACCUUGAAGUGUGAGCUUCAUCAAGAAUUCUCUCUCGUAAUCCAUCCAUAUUGGGCAUACAAUACCUACCAUGAUACCUCAAAAUACCAUCCCCUCUAAUUUCAAAUGCCAUUACCUUCUGUUGAACGAUAUCUUUCUUAAUCUGCAUCAAGAUAUGGUCUUCAGCCAACUUCCUUAACCUCAGCACAUAGAGAGGACUUUCUUAUCUCAUGAAUAAUUAAUCCCCCAUUUUCAAAACCCAGAAGUCGAACUCCCAAAUUUUCAAGAUGGUGAAUAACUCUUACCAUCUCUCUAUUUCUUUUCUUAACAUGAGAUAGAUUUCCCAUUGACAACCUACUAAAAGUGUCAGCCACCACAUUGGCCUUGCUUAGGUGAUAGUGCAGGCUCAUAUCAUAAUCCUUCAAUAGUUUUAGCCACCGCCUCUGCCUGAGAUUUAGUUUUUUUUAUGUGAAAAGUUACUACAAACUUUUUUGAUCAGUGAAUAUAUCAACAUGCACCUCAUACAGAUAAUGCUGCCAGAUCUUAAGUGCAAACACCACAACUGCUAUCUCUAAGUCAUGAGUGGGAUAAUAUUUCCCAUGCACCUUUAACUGUCUAGAUGCAUACAUGACCACCUUACCAUGUUGCAUGAGAACACACCGUAGUCCUACCCGGGACGCAUCAUAAUACACCAUAAAGCCCUCUGUAACCUCAGGAAAGGUCAAAAUUGGUACGAUCGUCAACUUGUCUUUAAUUUCUCGAAGCUAUUCUCACAAGAGUCACACCACAAGAAUUUUGAUUUCUUUUGAGUCAAUUUAGUAAGUUGAACUGCUAUGGAGGAAAAAUGUCAUAACCCAAGCUGGGGCCCUGGCCGCGACAAGCAUCCCGAACCAUGAAGGCCCGGGUGACCCAUUCUAUAUGGAAAUCAUAAACACCAUUCACAUACAAUAAGAACAAAUAUGGAAAGUAAACAAAUGGAAUCAUGGUCUUGUUCUGAAUUCAAUUUAACAAAACUGAAUAAAAUACAUAAGUAUCUAGACAAUAUAUACUUCAGUCUGCGAAAUCUCUAAUACAUCUUAAAUUAAUAGCUUGUCUAAAAAUGGGAUACGUCCCACAGUCAAACCAUGAAUAAAAAUAAAAUAACAAUAACAAGUUCAAAUACAAUCCUUCCAAAGUAAAGGAGGCUCACCAACUACAAACUUUUGACAAGUCAAUCUACUACUUAACAGAACCCAGGACUGUCUCAGAAUCCUGAAAUAUAGGGGGUCAAUACAGAUAUACUAGUAUACAGCGCCAUUUAAAAUAACGUAUUUAUAUAUAUAUAUAUAUAUAUAUAUAUAAAAUAGGUGAGAGCAAGUCAUGAAACAUCAUGCAUGUAAUAGUUAAAAACACAUGGGAAAUCCUUUGAAAAUCAUAAAAAAAAAUGUUAUAAUGUGGUUCUAGUCUUUGUAUUACUUCUAAGUUAGGUGGUAUACCCUACAACUCUGAAAUUCCAUGGGCUAUAUGGAAUCUGCCCUUAACUCGGCAGAAAAGCCCCCAACCCGAGGUUGCCACAAGGUUUGGAGUCUCUAUCUCUUUUACACCACAAGGCACUAGGCCAGCUUAUAAUCCUUCUAGGGGACAUAAUAACCCAUAUCGGCAAAACACAGUUUCGGGCAAUGAAUUUUCUAAAGUUGUACCUUCUUCGGGUAACCACCUAACAUCUUUUUGUGCCCAUUUUUAACCUUUUUUAAAAAUGCACCUUUCUAAAUUUAAAUCUAUAAAUUUAAGUGAAAUUUGAUUCUAUUCUAUUCUAAGUCUGUUAUGUCAUUAUCUGCUUUGGUGUCAUCACACCAAUACUUGCAAGUCAUGUUUGAGCCAUUCAAUAUAAUAUUACAGUCUUCACUUUGAGAACAUUAUUUUCAGGCCACCAAACUAUUCAAAUAUUAUAAGAGGAUGCAUAUAGUGAAAUUCAUGAAAACAUAAAGAUCCCCAAUUUCAAUUCACAAACACGUGGUGGUCACUUCUCGUGUAAUAAACCAUGAAAUUCUUUCAUUAAUCUUAUUUGGCAUUUACAAACCAUAAAAUGCUUAUAAAAUACAAAAUCGCCCUCUCUUUAAUUAACAGACUAGAUCAAGUUCAAAACAAUAUUUAAAAGACAUAUCUUAUGCUUUCAAUCAUGAAAUAUCACAACCCAUAACAUGUGAAGUCAAGAAAUAAUGCAACACGAGAAGGGUUUAAUCAUUCACGCUCUGAAUUUAAUCCUGCUAAACUGAAAAUCCAUACUUACAUAUAUACAUACAAAAAUCAAUUUCAAGGGGAGGCCACAAGUCCAAAACAACUUGUAUAUAUCAAUAAAAAGGUUUCCAUUAUUGGGAUAUCCAAAACAAUUAUUCAAAUCCUCAUUAUAAACACCAUAACAUGCUUUCAAAGAUCAACAAAACCAUAGUUUAUGCCCAUAGAGUUUUAAUAAUAGCCCCACGUACCUUAGACUAUAUAAUUUUAAAGAUGAAACCCGGAUCUUGAUAGAUGGAACACGGAUGUUGAUUUAUUUUCUUGGAAUUCUUGAUCUUAUGGAUGAGCUCUUGGUCUUUGGUGAAAGUAUUAGGGUUGGAUUUUUGAGAGGAAUUGGGUAAUGAGGCAUAUAAUGCCUUUGAGUAAUGAAUUUUACGGGUUAUGGGUGGAUUUUGGGUGAUAUAAAUUGUCCUUUGGAUGUUUGAGGGUUUAGGGGAAAAGACCAAAGUGCCCCAUGACCCUUACGAAGCUCAAACUGUGUAGGAAUAGCACCCACAUCGCGACCCCUAGUUUGGUCAAGUAGCCCUUGCAUCAUGCGGCUAUCGCAACCCCUUACUGCCUCAUAAAAAAAAUGGCAUAACUUUUCACUCGGUUAGCGGAUUUAGGCAAAAUUUCUAUCAUUGGAAAGAUAAUUCGAUAAUCAACAAUUUGGUGGGUCUUUAUCUGCCAAAUUCUAUAUAUAUAAAAAGUUAUACUCAUUCAAAGAUGACCCUUGUAGAAUCAAAUAUCCAAAUUUUGAUGAAUGAAGGGUUCUUAGCUCAGCUUUGCUUUAGGCAAUUUCUAUGAACAUUUUUCACCUCAUAAUCACUUCAUCUACUGUGAGAAAGAUCAGGAUACAUGAAUUUAAAUAAAAACCAUUUACUUAGAGGUUACACAUGAAGGAACAACGGUUUUAUUUGUAGCUCGAAAAUGCGGAUGUUACAUUAUCUCCCACUUGGGAUCAUUUGCCCCCGAAUGAUGGUUUACAAACCAUAAAAUGCUUAUAAAGAAAAAAAAUUGCCCUCUCUUCAAAUCACAGAAUAGAUCAAUUUCAUAACAAUAUUUACAACACAUAUCUCAUGCUUUCAAUCGUGAAAUAUCACAAACCAUAACAUGUGAAGUCAAGAAAUAAUGUAAUAUAAGAGUGGUUUAAUCAUUCAUGCUCUCAAUUUAAUCUUUAUGAACUGAAAUGAAUACUUACAUAUAUACGCACAAAAAUAAUUUCAAGGGGAGGCCUCAAGGCCAUAACAACAUGUAUAUAUCAAUAAAAUGAUUUCCAUUAUUGGGCUAUUCAAAACAAUUGUUCAAACCCUUGUUCCAAACAUCAUAACAUGCUUUCAAAGACUAACAAAACCAUAAUUUAUGCCCAUUAAGUUUUAAGGACAUCCCCACGUACCUUAGACUAUAAAAUUUGAAAGAUUGAACCAGGAUCUUGAUAGAUGGAACACGAAGCUUGUUUUUUUUCUUGGAAUUCAUAAUCUUAAGGAUUAUUUAUUUAUCUUUGGGGAAAGGAUUAGGGUUGGAUUUUUGAGAGUAAUUGGGUAAUGAGGCAUAGCAUGCCUUUGGGGAAUGAAUUUUAAGGGUUAUAGGUGGAUUUUGGGUGAUAUAAAUCAUCCUUUGGACGUUUGGCGGUUUAGGGGAAAGGACCAAAGUGCCCCAUGACCCUUAUGAAGCUGAAACUGUGUGGGAAUACCCCCUACAUCGGGACCCCUAGUUGGGUCAAGUAGCCCUCGCGUCACGGGGCUAUCACGACCCCUUACAGCCUCACACAAAAAGUGGCAUAAAUUUUUACUCAAUUAGUGGAUUUAGGCAAAUUGGUAACGUUGGAAAUCCAAUUCAAUUAUCUACAAUUUGAUGGGUCUUAAUAUGCCAAAUUAUAUAUAUAGAAAAAGUUAAACUAAUUCAAAGAUGACCCUUGUAGAAUCGAAUAUCCAGAUUUUAAUCAAUGAAGGGUUCUUAGCUCAACUUUUCUUUAAUCCAUUUAUAUGAAUAUUUUUCACCUAAUAAUCACUUCAUGUACUUGGAGAAAGAUUAGGAUACAUGAAUUUAAAUAAAAAUCAUGGACUUAGAGCUUACACAGAUAGGAAUGAUGGUUCGAUUUCUAGCUCAAUAAUACGGGUGUUACAAAAAACUCUCUACAAACCUUCUAUAAUACCCUGCCAGACCCAAGAAGCUCUAGAUGUCAGUUGGAGUCGUAGGCCUGGGCCAUUUAAUCACUGCCUCAACCUUUUGGGGGUCAACUUUGAUCCCCACACUUGAAAUAAUUUGCCCCGAGAAAGCAAUAGCACUAAGACUAAAUUCACAUUUGGAAAACUUUUCAUAUAAUUCAUGAUCUUUGAGGGUCUGAAAGAUAAUUUAGAGGUGAUUGGCAUACUCCUCCCCACUCUUAAAGUAAACCAGGAUAUCAUCUAUAAAGACUAUGACAAACAGAUAUGGAAACUAAUAAAACUCCUUAUUUAUUAUUUCCAUAAAAGUUGCAGGGUCAUUAGUCAGUCCAAAGGACAUAACUAAGAAACCAUAAUGGCUAUAUCAGGCUCGAAAAGCCGUUUUAGGAAUGUCAGCCUCCCUAACCUUCAACUGAUGAUACACUGAACGAAAAUCUAUCUUUGAGAAUCAUUUGUCACCUUGGAGUUGGUCAAAAAGAUCAUCUAUUCUAGGGAGAGGGUAUUUAUUUUUAACAGUGACCUUAAUCACCUGACGAUAAUCUAUACAUAGAUGAAGUGAACCGUCA
Molecule: long non-coding RNA, 15276 nt
Filed under: Capsicum annuum
Lineage: Eukaryota; Viridiplantae; Streptophyta; Magnoliopsida; Solanales; Solanaceae
Description: long non-coding RNA (CANN_LNC014753)
Source: RNAcentral